RNAcentral lists this ribosomal RNA (2998 nucleotides) under Prunus avium (sweet cherry). Its description in RNAcentral is "eukaryotic LSU rRNA". It matches the Rfam family "Eukaryotic large subunit ribosomal RNA". The record is from RNAcentral. Lineage: Eukaryota; Viridiplantae; Streptophyta; Magnoliopsida; Rosales; Rosaceae.
UUGAAGUAUCAAUAAUUCUGUAAAACAUACAUCACUUAUCCCAUGUUUUGCCGCGAGGGAAAGAUGAAAAGGACUUUGAAAAGAGAGUCAAAGAGUGCUUGAAAUUGUCGGGAGGGAAGCAGAUGGGGGCUGACGAUGUGCCCCGGUCAGAUGUGGAAAGGUCACAAGCCGGUCUGCCGAUCAGCUCGGGGCUUUGAUCGAUGCAGAUUACGGCGGCGGCCAAAGUCCGGGCUGUUAAUAUGCCUGCGGAGACGCCACGACGAGAUCAUGGUAGGCAUCACGCACCGUCUCGGCGUGCCUAAGCAUCUGUGUGCUCCUAUCAUCGGCCUAUGGGCUCCCCAUUUGACCCGUCUUGAAACAUGGACCAAGGAGUCUGACAUGUGUGUGAGUCAACUGGCAAUUACACCCAUAAGGCAUAAGGAAGUGGACUGGUGGGAUCCCUUUAACGGUUGCACUGCUGACCGACCUUGAUCUUUUGAGAAGGGUUCGAGUAAGAGCAUGCCUGUCGGGUCCAGAAAUAUGGUGAAUUAUGCCUGAGCGAGGUGAAGCCAAAGGAAACUCUGGUGGGGCCGGCAACGAUACUAACGUGCAAAUCGUUCGUCUAAUUUGGGUAUAGGGUCGAAAGACUAAUCAAACCGUCUAGUAGCUGGUUCCCUCCGAAGUUUCCCUCAGGAUAACUGGAGCCCAUGAACUAGUUCUAUCAGGUAAAGUCAAUGAUUAGACGCAUCGGGGGCGCAACGCCCUGGACCUAUUCUCAAACUUUAAAUGGGUAGGACGACGCAGCUGCUUUGUUGAGCCGCACCAUGGAAUCGAGAGCUCCAAGUGGGCCAUUUUUGGUAAGCAAAACUGGCGAUGCAGGAUUAACCGGAAGCUAGGUUACGAUGCCCAACUGUGCGCUAACCUAGAACCCACAGAGGGUGUUGGUCGAUUAAGGCAGCAAGGUGGUGGUCAGGGAAGUCGAAAUCUGCUAAGGAGUGUGUAAGAACUCACCUGCAGAAUCAACUAGCCCUGAAAAUGGAUGGCGCUUAAGCGUGCGACCUAUACUCGGUCGUCGGGGCAAGUGCUAGGCCCUGAUGAGUAGGACGGCAUAGCGGUCACUGCAAAACUUGGGGCACAAGCCUGGCCGGAGUGGCCAUCGGUGCAGAUCUUGUGGUAGUAGCAAAUAUUCAAAUGAGAACUUUGAAGGCCGAAGAGGGGAAAGGUUCCAUGUGAACGACACUUGCACAUGGGUUAGUCAAUCCUAAGAUACAGGGGAAGCCCAUCUGAUAGUGCAUCUCGCGCAAACUUCAAAAAGGAAUCGGGUUAAAAUUCUUGAACUGGGACGUGGUGGUUGACGGCAACGUUAGGGAGUCCGGGGACGUCGGCGGGGGCCUUGGAAAGGGUUAUCCUUUUUGUUUAACAGCCUGCCCACCCUGGAAACAGCUCAGCCAAAGGUAGGGUCCAGCGGCUGGAAGAGCACCCCACGUCGCGUGGUGUUCGGUGCGCCCACGAUGACCUUUGAAAAUCCAGAGGUCUGAGUGCCAUUCACGCCGGUCGUACUUAUAACUGCAUCAGGUCUCUAAGGUGAACAUCCUUUGGUUGAUGGAACAAUUUAGGCAAAGGAAGUCAAUAAAAUGGAUCCGUAACCUCAGGAAAAGGAUUGGCUCUGAGGGCUAGGCACUGGGGGUCCUAGUCCCAAACCCUUCGGUUGUCUAUGGACUGCUCGAGCUGGUCGCCGCGUGUCGGCUGGGGGACGGACUUGGAACGUUCCUUCGGGGACUUUCCCUGGGCGUCGAACAGCUGCCUCAAAAACUGGUACGGAUAAGGGGAAUCUAAUUGUUUAAUUAAAACAAAGCAUUGUGAUGGUCCCUACGGAUGCUAACACAAUGUGAUUUCUGCCCAAUGCUCUGAAUGUCAAAGUGAAGAAAUUCAACCAAGCGCGAGUAAAUGGCAGGAGUAAUUAUGACUCUCUUAAGGUAGCCAAAUGCCUCGUCAUCUAAUUAGUGACAUGCAUGAAUGGAUUAACGAGAUUCCCAUUGUCCCUGUCUACUAUCCAGUGAAACCACAACCAAGGGAACGAGCUUGGCAGAAUCAGCCGGGAAAGAAGACCCUGUUGAGCUUGACUCUAGUCCAACUUUGUGAAAUGACUUGAGAGGUGUAGUAUAAGUGGGAGCUUCAGCGAAAUUGAAAUACCACUACUUUUAACGUUAUUUUACUUAUUUUGUGAAAUGGAGGCGGGGCAUUUUGGACCCAAGGCCAGCCUCGCGUAAGACGAUCUAGGCGGAAGACAUUGUCAGGUGGGGAGUUUGGCUGGGGUGGCACAUUUGUUAAAAGAUAAAGCAGGUGUCUUAAGAUGAGCUCAACGAGAACAUAAAUCUCGUGUGGAACAAAAAGGUAAAAGCUCUUUUGAUUCUGAUUUCCAGUACGAAUACGAACCAUGAAAGCAUGGCCUAUCGAUCCUUUAGAUCUUCGGAAUUUAAAGCUAGAGGUGUCAGAAAAGUUACCACAAGGAUAACUAGCUUGUGGCAGCCAAGCAUUCAUAGCGACGUUGCUUUUUUAUCCUUCGAUGUCGGCUCUUCCUAUCAUUAUGAAGCAGAAUUUACCAAGUGUUGGAUUGUUCACCCACCAAUAGGGAACGUGAGUUGGGUUUAGACCGUCAUGAGACAGGUUAGUUUUAGCCUCCUAAUGACAGUGUCGCAAUAGUAAUUCAACAUAAUACGAGAGGAAUCGUUGAUUCGCACAAUUGGUCAUCGCGCUUGGUUGAAAAGCCAUUGGCACGAAGCUACCAUGCGCUGGAUUAUGAAUGAACGCCUUUAAGUCAUAAUCUAAGCUAGAAGCGAUGCAUGCACCCGCCGCCCGUUUGCCGAUCCUCAGUAGGGGCCUUAGGCCCCCAAAGGCACGUGUCUUUGGUGAAGCCCUUGUUGUGGAUGAGCUGCGAGGGCCAGCUUAAAUUACAAUUUCUACUGAGCGGUAAGUAGAAUCCUUUGCAGACGACUUACAUACGUGAGGAGGUAUUGUA